GCUGGGCAUCAUGUGCUGUAGCUAUGCCCCUAUGAUGCUUUUCGAUUGGCGUCAUGUUGUAUCAGUUCAGAGAGAGAUUUUCUACUUCUAGUUAUAGGUAAAAUAAAUUAUAAUGUGAAUAUUUAAUUAGUAUGGUAUUCUUCUAAUAUUUGUUAUUGAUAGGAUGUAUUUGAUAUUAUUAAUUUUGAGGAGGACUGCGUUCAGUG
This 206-nucleotide long non-coding RNA is filed under the name Elaeis guineensis (African oil palm). RNAcentral's name for it is "long non-coding RNA (EGUI_LNC056716)". Lineage: Eukaryota; Viridiplantae; Streptophyta; Magnoliopsida; Arecales; Arecaceae. The record is from RNAcentral.